UUUCAUGAAAACAUUACCACAAGCCUUUAUUGUAGUGCUUGAGCUCAUAUAUCACUUAGCAUGCUUUGUGGAAAACACUGCAUUGUAGAUACCUGUGAUUGGUAUUUAAAGUGCCUUUUUCAUUUGUUUUGUAUUAAUGAUUACUGCCUCAAAUAGUCAUGAGCUAUUUCUAUUGUAAUUUAGUUGGGCAAGCCUGUAAUGAUAAAGUAGAUUGUUUGUGUGCAUGUACUUGUAUUUUAGGAUGCAGAGGUGAUGGCUCAGACUGGUUUGCGUACUUCUAGUAUGAUUCAUACUAUGUAAAUAAUAUGGGUGUACAUGACAAUGUAUUAUGGUUGUGCAUGGUCACACUCAUAUAUGAGAUGAACAAGUCAAGUAGAUCUAGCUAAAGAGUAAUGAUUCAUGAUAAGACACUAACGGUUAUUUGGAUUUGUAA
Long non-coding RNA from Amphimedon queenslandica, 433 nucleotides. RefSeq lists it as uncharacterized. NCBI's taxonomy places the organism in Eukaryota, Metazoa, Porifera, Demospongiae, Haplosclerida, Niphatidae. The transcript has 3 exons. The record is from RefSeq and is a predicted model, not a curated record.